UACGUAGGGACCAAGCGUUGUUCGGAUUUACUGGGCGUAAAGGGCGCGUAGGCGGCGUGACAAGUCACUUGUGAAAUCUCCGGGCUUAACUCGGAACGGCCAAGUGAUACUGUCGUGCUAGAGUGCAGAAGGGGCAAUCGGAAUUCUUGGUGUAGCGGUGGAAUGCGCAGAUAUCAGGAGGAGCACCGAUGGCGAAGGCAGGUCACUGGGCCGCAACUGACGCUGAGGAGCGAAAGCAUGGGGAGCGAACAGG
This 253-nucleotide ribosomal RNA is filed under the name uncultured bacterium. RNAcentral's name for it is "partial 16S ribosomal RNA". It matches the Rfam family "Bacterial small subunit ribosomal RNA", at positions 524 to 776 of the family's 1533-position model. The record is from RNAcentral.